This 464-nucleotide ribosomal RNA is filed under the name uncultured bacterium. Its description in RNAcentral is "partial 16S ribosomal RNA". It matches the Rfam family "Bacterial small subunit ribosomal RNA", at positions 339 to 795 of the family's 1533-position model. The record is from RNAcentral.
CUACGGGUUGCUGCAGUGGGGAAUAUUGCACAAUGGGCGCAAGCCUGAUGCAGCCAUGCCGCGUGUAUGAAGAAGGCCUUCGGGUUGUAAAGUACUUUCAGCGGGGAGGAAGGGAGUAAAGUUAAUACCUUUGCUCAUUGACGUUACCCGCAGAAGAAGCACCGGCGAACUCCGUGCCAGCAGCCGCGGUAAUACGGAGGGUGCAAGCGUUAAUCGGAAUUACUGGGCGUAAAGCGCACGCAGGCGGUUUGUUAAGUCAGAUGUGAAAUCCCCGGGCUCAACCUGGGAACUGCAUCUGAUACUGGCAAGCUUGAGUCUCGUAGAGGGGGGUAGAAUUCUAGGUGUAGCGGUGAAAUGCGUAGAGAUCUGGAGGAAUACCGGUGGCGAAGGCGGCCCCCUGGACGAAGACUGACGCUCAGGUGCGAAAGCGUGGGGAGCAAACAGGAUUAGAUACCCCUGUAGUC